Denticeps clupeoides (denticle herring) is the source of this 1799-nucleotide long non-coding RNA. NCBI's taxonomy places the organism in Eukaryota, Metazoa, Chordata, Actinopteri, Clupeiformes, Denticipitidae. The record is from Ensembl.
AUGGAAGGGCUGGUGCAGCUCGGUCUGAUCUUCUUGCUGACCUGCACCCUCCACGCCUUCCCGCCGGAGAUGGACGACGGCCGCGCUGUGGACCAGGCCGCCGAUGGGCUUCCCGAACUCGGGGACAGGAGGGGACAAGAGCGUGCCACCUUCACCCCGAUGGGCGAUGUGAGGGGGAGCCUGAAGAAGAAGGGGAGGGCAGGACACACGUCUCUAAUCGCCGGUGCUGCAGUGCUCCCAAAGCCACCCGCUGUCACCAACACCCCUGAUGGCCAGCAGGAGGUGAUGAGACAGAAGCGACAGCUGCAGAACAACAAGAAGACCAAGGCGAAGAAGGGCCGCCCCGGAGGAAUGUCUCCUUUAGGGUCCGUUCGGAACCCGGGCGGCUGAAGAUGAAGAUCGUCUCCACGCUGCUUCUCUGUACUCAGCACGCAGCCCACAUGUAACCACAGCCAGCUUUCUGUAUCCGAGAACCUGCAAAAUAAAUGCUGGAACAUCUGACCACGAGGCCUUCCACAACACGCUCACACUCACACACACGUAUUUCAACCAGGCAGAUGCAGAAGAAUCGCAGGUUGACCUUGCAGCUCCACCCUUCACCACCUCGUGGCAGCAGAUCCUAACUUGGACAUCUUAGUUCACUUUUCCUUCCAUUGAUGUGACCUUUUUUAAAUGUGGGGCAGAUAAGACCCUUCGUGCCAGAUAAGCGCUUUUUAGAGCUCCAGGGUGCUCCAGGGUAAACAUGACAUGAGAGUUGGUGAAAUGUGAUGUUCUGCAUCUCAGCUCUUGGUUUAUAGCCGCGCAGUGAAACAAUAAAACUUACCCAGCAACGUGUGUGAAGGUUCUCAGUCACCCGGGUGAACUUGUCUGAAGGUUGUGAGUCGUGCCAACUGGACGUUUCCUUCUGCAUCCACAGAACUUUGUCCGCCUGAGGGAAGUUGGCUUGUGACCACCUCUCUGACAAAGUUCUGGUGGGUGCAGAAGGAAACGUCCAGACUUCGCAGGCGACGCAAAACGAGAAGGAAGGAGACGGAAUAACCGCGAAUGUCGUGCCGUUUCUCGUCCCUCCUGACCGCAGCAUGAUGUUCUCGCUAUUCUGCAAAUAAACGCGUCUUCUGCAUUUUUCUGGAAGGAAUGUGUGUCCGUGUGAGACUUCCGUUUUUUCUUGAUUACGUUACAUAAACCUCCCAGAUGAAGGGAGAAGGCCGGGGCAAAUGGGACGGAAUUCCGGAACAUUCCUGCACCGCACACGCGGCUCGCUGUUGUCCCGUGAAGAACAAUUUUCCUGAGGGAACCACCUUCUCCAGCGUGGCUGUGUGUGUGUGUGUGUGUGUGUGUGUGUGUUAAUUGAGUCAGCGUUCUCUCUUGUCCCUCCCACACACACACACACACACACACACGCACUGCUGGGAGCUCUGGUGGAACCUCUGGAUGUGAUUCAGAUGAUCCGAGGGAGUCUUCAGCAGCAGAGGAACGUCAAGGCGCUCAGGUAAAACACCCGAACUUCUCUAGCAUCUGGUGAGCCUCGAAUUACAUUUACAUUUACAGCAUUUAUCAGACGCCCUUAUCCAGAGCAACUUACAACCAGUAGUAACAGGGGACAGUCAGACAAUGGUAGUAAGUGGGAUUUGAACCCGAGUCUUCUGGUUCACAGGCGAGUGUGUUACCCGCUAGGCUACUACCAGCCUAUUAAACUCACUAGAUGACUCCGUCGGUCUCGAUCUCGGUAUUUACGCACUUCUGCUUGUCCCCUUCUGUCACCUGGACAAGAAUAUAGAAGCAUCUUUAGCCGGAGAGGG